UAUAUAUAUAUAUAUAUACCUCUUAUUUGCUCUGUGAUAGACUCCUCACUCCAGGUUACAGCCAUAGGCGUUGCCCAUUUCUUAAACCUUCCUCUUGAGAAUCAAGAAAUUAGUGUUUCUCUGCAUUUUAGAAUCGAUGCAGUGGAGGGUGUUCGUACUUUUAUCACUGUCCUUUUUCCAUCAACAUCCACCUAAAUAGUGUCACUGAUCCUCUUGAAGAUGGAGAACUACACUUUCACUUAAGCAGGCCUCUUACAGCUUUUGUUUAGGUUGACCAGGGCAUCUCAUUUUUAUAGAAUUCCUUCCUUCGUAAACUAGAUUACCCUUUACUGUCGGUAGGAUAUGAUAUAGCCUUGGUAGGAAUACUUACCUGAAAGGUACAGAUUUUUUGCAAGUCACUCAGAAAGGGCUUCAUUUAAUUGCAUAAAUCUUGAGUGACUUGGUUUAGUCUCUGCCAUGUCAUCCAUUGUGUGUUUCCAUCCAGCUUUUUUUUUUUUUUCCAGAAUUGGAUAAGUUUCAAAUGAUGAGCCUUCUAUGGAUGGGGGCAUUAUUCAUUUGCUAAUUUCAGCCAUAUGGAUGAAAAUGUUCAUACAUCCAAGGAAUCGGUGUCAAAGGUACCAUUUAGACCAGGGGUAGGCAACCUUGGCUCUUUUAUGACUCGUGGACUUCAACUCCUAGAAUUCCUGAGCCAUCCACAGCUGGCUCAGGAAUUCUGGGAGUUGAAGUCCACGAGUCAUAAAAGAGCCCAGGUUGCCUACCCCUGAACCACAUACAUUUGGAUCUUCUCAUGCAACAGUAAUAAUGUUUAUAAAAUAAAGCUGGUCUUUAAAAAAAAAAAACCUUAGUGUCUGAAAUGUAGUGCCAAUUUUGUUCUCUCACCUUUGAGAGAUGAUAAUUCUUGGCAGCAGUGUCUGUGCCCUUUUUUUGCCUACUGGAAAUCAUUGUAAUAUGGAUUUAGGAAAUGGUAAAAAAACAUUUCAGUCCUAAAUUUCUGUACUUUUGAGUAGCUAAAUACUGCUCUACUUCUCUCUCCUCCCCCCCCCCCAGGCUUCCUUUCCUUCCUCCGUGUGAGUAACAUUAUGAAAGUUAAAGCUAAUAAAGCUGCUGUAUUUUGCCCAAUUGGUUUAAGGUACUGCAUCGACUGACUCGCCUUCCCCCAGUUCUGUUAAGAAAGAAAAACCUUGGAGUCUACUAGGAUGGCUAUUCAGGAGAGGGGUAGAUUUGAGCAGGGGGCCUUAAUUUUCACCAGCUAGAGCUAUUAUUAUUCUCCUUUCACCUCCAAGAUACUGGUGAAAGAGAGACUGCUUUAGAACUCCUUGAAAUUCGGCAUAGUGUUUGGGGGGGGGGUGACAGUGUGGCAAAACAGUAUGAUUUGGGGUGAAAGGAUUUGGUUUUCUAGUUCAGAGGUGGGGAACCGUGGCCCUUUAUGGCUCGUAGACUUCAAGUGAGCAUGGCUGGCUCAGGAAUUCUGGGAGUUGAAGUCGUUCCCCAGCCCUGCUCUUCGUUAGACAACUUACAUGUGGUUGCUUGCUCCCUGUUGGCUUUGUCUUUUUUCCAUUAACCGGGUUAAAUUCCUAAUACUGCUGUGAGAACAAGGACGCAAGGAUGUGUGCAGCAAGAGACAAGCCCUGGACAGUGGUAACCUUCCCUUUGUUUCCCCUGCUUCUCCCACCAUUUUAGCAAGUGGUCAGAAAGGCAGUAUUGAAACCGGUUCCCAGUAGUCAGGGCUCAGUUCUCAAGACUUUCCUUGCCCUGCUUUUCCCUAGCGCUUUCCUGUAAAAGAGGGGGCCACCUGCAGCGGUCUUUUCCUGGCAUGGCAUGUUGCUGGACCAACAGCUUCUUAUGUUUUAGGGCAAUUAGAUACUUCCUGAUCUCUUGACCCAAAUUUUGACGUGGGCAAAGGUUAAAGCCAGCUCGUCUCAAACUCUGGAAGGGGGCAUGUAUUGCUUACCUGCAGAUUUGGUUAUGAGGGCGAAAGGGAGGGGGGGGACCUGGUUGGCUUCUGUUUCUGGAUGAAGAGUGGAAGGCCCUUGGAGAGAUUUCUGAUCAAAAAGUGGUAACUUAAACCUGGGUUACAUGCCAGCUUAGCACGUGGCUCUUCUCUACUUUAGCAAUGAAAUGUGAAACGUUUUCUUUAGAAGAUUGUUGGGUUGGGAUCCUUUCCUAUCACACAGUUUUAUUUCCCAACACAAAUAGAUGACUAAUGGAGAAUCGCACUUGGGCUGCCUGCCCAAUCCCACUUUCUGGAAGAAGAAAAAAAAAAGAGUCAUUAAUUUAUCUUGGAUCUGUGAAAAAAAACCUCUGUUUCUUUCUCCACCCGUUCUUCUCUAAUCUCUGUCGCACACACGCGCAGGUGUGUGUAUGUGUGUAUUUUUUUUUCUCUAAUUCCAGGGACAAUCUUGACCUUCGUCUUGAGCCACAAAGCAGCAAAAUCAAUUUUGAAAUGGUGAGAAGCUAAGAAACAGCCCUCCAGCCCAGAGGGUUCAAGUGAAUCAGAGGCUGUGCGCACUGCCCCCCCCUUACCCGCGAGGCUGCCUAGCAGCAGCCCUUUUUUUAAUUAUUUUUAUUUUUUAUCUUGCAUGAUAAAAAAGCAAGGUGCAUGUACUAAGGAGGGGAGUCCACAAUGGGUCUUCCAAACUUCAGGAACAAAGGUGCUUUCACCUCCUACAAGAGAUCUUGGUUCUGCUGUGGGGUGGCAGCCUACUCACCUCUCCCCGAUUUAGCUAAUCCAUUGCUUCACGGAGCACCUUGCCGGUUUUUCUCAUCCCAAACAAUCACAAAUCCUGGGAAUGUGUGGCAAGGACUGGGGUUCCUGGUUCUGAAGUGAUGUUUGCCCAUUGCCUGGAGACUGCCUCCUUUCUUGCUCUCUUUUUAGCUAUGUUUAAAAAAGAAUGGUGACAAAUGUUAUUUAUUGGCGGAAAUUAUUUAAUAUAAUUUCUUUUUUUGUGAAAAAGGAAUGACUUUGUUAGAGCUGUCUUAAUGUAAAUUGGAAAGUCAUCUUUAAGAGAAAAAAAAAAACCUUAAAAAUUAAAUGACAGUUGUUUGGCUCCGGUGUCAUUUUUCAGACUGCUUGAGCAAAUAGCUCAGAGUUAAUUAAGACUCCUUGUUUUCCUGCCUUUUCCAGGUCAACGGGAAAAAGCCUUAAUAUCUCUCGCCUGUUUGUUUGGAAGUCAAGUGAUUAAAAGAAAAAAAAAGCAGUGAUGCAGCUCAAAAAUAAGUGGUUGCUACCGGUCUUUCGACGGUGUCCCCAUCGCCACCGAAACCGAGCUACUCCACCUUGUUGCUGGUUGUCCUUUCUUCCACCUUUCCCCAUGUGACAGGCAUCUCUAGGGAGCUAGGUCUUCGCAAUAAUAGAUCCAAAGUGGGAUAAAUUGAGUGUGGGGCCCCAAGAAGAAAAUGAGGAAAAUCCUGCCAUAGACAGCCAAUAAUGGAGUCCUCCAGAUGGUGUAGAAUGCUAGCUCCUGUGAUCGCUUGUAAGCAUGGCCAAAGUUAGGGGAAGGGGGAAAUUGCAGUCCACAACUUUGCAAUGCCACAACUUCCUAGCUUGAAACUUUCCUGCUUCUUUUCAGUUGUUUUCAUUGUCUUGGCCUAAGCUGAAGCCCUCUAUUUCUUCCCUUGUCUUGCUUUUCCACCCAGUUCAAUCAUGGUUUGUCAUGCAUUUUCUGAAACCCUUGCUAUCACACAUGUACUGAAACAGGAUUCAAUUACUGCAUGUUAUAACCACUAGGCUAUAACUACUACACCAUGCGUAUACACUAACUAGGUUUGCAUAACCCACCAAACCCUGCAUGUGGAUUAAUCAAAAACAGUUGUGUUCACAGAGCAUGUCUUGCUCAGACAAACCAUAUUAUAACUUAAUAUGUGUCUGGCGUGAAAGGCAGGUUCACACCUGAAGGUUCAACUAAACCUAUUUAUUGCUAAACUCCUAUGCACAGAAAUCUUCUUAAUUAACUGUCGGCAUCUAUUUAGAUAAGGGUCAACAGCAUUCAGGAGGAUGGGGCUUAGUCCUCUUGUAGGGAUUCUAGGUUGAUCCCUUUUCAGUCCCCCCCUCCCAGGUUCUGCCAUCCCUUCUCCUACAACAGUGUUUCUCAACCUUGACAAUUUUAAGGCAUGUGGACUUCAACUCCCAGAAUUCCACAGCCAGCAAUGCUGGAAGUCCACAUGCCUUAAAAUUAUCAAGGUUGAGAAACACUGUCCUACAAUAUGGUGGUUGAGAUCCAGCAACAUAUAAUAUCACAAAUUAAACAACUCAAUUUUAACCUAGGCUACUUGUGCAAAUCUGUCCUAUACGUGAAUUAAGUAUAACACCAGUGACUUCCGAGUUAAUGUACAGUAGUGAUUAAGGUGAUGGAUUACGAACAGAGAGACCUGGGUUCAGGUCCACCCUCAGCCACCGAAGCUUGUCAAGAGGAUGGUGGGUCAUUCCCCGUUUCUCAAGUUUGCUGUAGAGAAAAAUGGAAUGCUUUGUGUACACUGCUAUGAGUGUAAAAAAGCAGAUAUAUAGUAUAUCCAAAUAGGACCACAGUAUACCAAGAAUGGUGCAACAGUGACCGAGCAAUAAGAGAAGUUAGAAACCGCUACUUUUCAGAUUUUUUCUAUUAUUGCAGAUAUUUCACUGGGCAACUCCUACUUUCUAAGGCUUUCAAAGAAAUGUCUAAAUUAGAGACUAAAUGUCUAAUUCAUUCUUCAGAGCCAGACCUCUUCUGAUGGCACAGAUUCUCAUCUGUGGGAAUCUUAACAACAGCCUUGUAGUAAAUGUAAAAAUCGACACUCGAGCCCUUUUGCCAGUUACGCAACAAGGUCACUUGUUUUCUUGCCUGUUCAGCAGUUCUUGGCUCAGCCUCGCUCAACUGAUGCUGGCUUUGCUUGCAGUUUGUACAAAGGCUAAAGUCCAAGUGAGUCACCUUACAAGUUCUGGGGAAGAAGCAGGAAACAAAAAGUCGUCAUACCAGUGAAAGGCGGGGAUCUGAUUGAACAUGAAGGCGUGUUUCAGAUGCAUCUUGGGAUCGCUGCUUACCGAAGCAAAUUUGAAAAGCAACUGAAGUGGGUUACCUUCACAGAAAGAGAAUUAGGGAGUGGACUCUCUGAUCCCCUUUCCCAAAUGCUUCUGUGUCGUAGUGUGGGUUCUAAUCCCCUUUAACGCUGAAGUUUUAUUUUUAUUUUGCAUUUAUUUUUCCCCAAAAAAUCAAAACCAUGCAGCAAGUGUGGUGACAUAUUUAUGUUUGUUUUAAUCUUGAGGGCUACGUUUUCCCUUGGACGCACUUGCUGAGACAACAGAUUGUAUAUCAGGCUACACUAGUUUAUAACUGGCUCAGCCUGUCGUUGUGAGAUCCUGGCCACUGUCAUAGCAUAAAACAAACCAAUUGCAGUUUUCAAAACAAUACUAUUGCUGGUCAAGAAGGGAGGUUACUACCCAGAUAGAAACCAUACUUGGCCUGUGGAGAUCCUAUUUGCUGCAUUUUGCCUAGAAGCAACAUCUAGAAGCACACAGUUACCUUUUUUCUUCUUUUUCUAAGAUUUUGGAGAAGCAGAGAAGGGAGAAGGUAAAGCCUAUCAAAAGAAACAGGAAAGCCUUAACUUGACUACAAUUAGUCCCUGAUUUAGGACGAGCCCAAAACUUUCUGUUGCUAAGUGAAAAAUUUGUUAAGUGAGUUUUGCCCCGUUUUUAUGACUUUUCUUGCCACAGUUGUUAAGUGAAUCACUGAAGUUAAGUUAGUGACGGGUUGUCAAAUGAA
Crotalus tigris (Tiger rattlesnake) is the source of this 5735-nucleotide long non-coding RNA. RefSeq lists it as uncharacterized. The record is from RefSeq and is a predicted model, not a curated record. The transcript has 3 exons. Lineage: Eukaryota; Metazoa; Chordata; Lepidosauria; Squamata; Viperidae.